Molecule: transfer RNA, 72 nt
Filed under: Pangasianodon hypophthalmus (striped catfish)
Lineage: Eukaryota; Metazoa; Chordata; Actinopteri; Siluriformes; Pangasiidae
Description: tRNA-Glu
Source: RNAcentral
UCCCUGGAAGACUAGUGGUUAGGCCACAGCAUGCUCACUGCUGCGGCACAGGUUCGAUUCCCAGCCAGGGAG